UGGAUGCAGUGUCUGAUCAGGGAAGUCUUUAAAAGCCUGGUUCUGGGGAUGGAGUUAGUUGGGGCAGUUCAUUCCACAUAGUCCCAGAGCUUAGUGACCGUCCUUAGCAGGAUGCUGGGCUGGAAGUACCCGAUGGUGCCUGUUCUUAGGUGAUGGGUAACAUGCAGGAGUGAAGCAUCUUGACUCUGUGAAGGAAGGAGUUCCUGUGAAGGAAGGAGUUCUAACUCUCCUGGAUCUGCUUCUUGGCAUGACACACCUUUGCUGGAAUCACCAUCUAUAUCUGUCCUGAAUUUCUCCAGAAAAGGACCUCUGUUGCGGUGGAUUCUGCAUUGUGGUCUCAUCUGUUCAGUUCUGGAAAGAGACACUCUGACCUCAUUUCACCCAGACCAUGUUACAUUAUUGUUUUUAGGGAUUUUUAAUAUAAACCAGAUUUCUCUGCGUUCUCAUUUAUCUUCCAUUGAUUUCUGUAGCUUAUUCAAAGUUCUUAAUAUCCUUCUGUGAUUUUUGUUUAUUCACCACUCUUUAUUAGCAAAUCCUUAAUUCCUUAGUGCUUCUAAAGCUCCUUAGGACAUGAAACAAUACUUCUGAUUUGUUAACUGUUAUCAUUACCACCAGUGGUAUGG
This 623-nucleotide long non-coding RNA is filed under the name Calidris pugnax (ruff). RNAcentral describes it as "lncRNA (ENSCPUG00000013401.1)". The record is from RNAcentral. Lineage: Eukaryota; Metazoa; Chordata; Aves; Charadriiformes; Scolopacidae.